UAUAAGUUAGAAUUAUUAUCAACUUAAUACGUCUGUAUGGAGAAGCGUGUGUUAGCCUUAAAACUCGUGGCCCCGCGUGUAGAUUAGCCAUUGGCGUCAACACAGUUUAAAAAAUCCUAGCAUUCUGAUUAUGAUCACGUGAUGUUCUAAUGAUUAUUGUUAUUAAUAACAUAAUAAUUAUCACAUAUCACGUUAAACACAUUAUUAAUUUGAUAAUUAUUAAUUAAUCAUCAUGACUGUUUGAUUUCUGUUUCUGAUUACUUGACUGAUUGCAAAGUAAGAGCUUUUACUUAUUAGAGGCUGUAUCUAAAUGCAAUUUAGAUCAAAAUAUAAACUUUAAGCUAUAACAGCUUAGAAUAACUUUUAUAAUAAAAUUGUGAUCGAACGAAUUCUGUGCAGCUAACUACAAUAAUUUAGGAAAAUCACUAUGAGGAUUCUAAGAGUUUUUGAAAAAAAACUACCGUUUUAUCAACUAGGUCACGGAACUCUACCUUAUGCGUUUUUUUGUACGCUUAUUUUACUUUUUUUACGCUUGGUCGAUAAUGUAAUUGUAUGUUCGCGAACACAGAAUUUAGAAUAUAUACAGAAAUGGUAAACGUGCGUCAGCUAAUCGCCGCGACUAGUAAAGCAACAUUUUAAAAAUGUUAGUAAAUAAGCAAUACUCUCAGAAUGAGAAUGGUUUAGGGCAUAGUCUUAGCCUAUAUGCAGAUUUUUUUACGAUUUUUUAAUGUCGUUAAAGUGAUUUUAAUCGUUUAAAACGCACCUCAAAAGUUAUGUGCGUUUUAAACAUUUUUGCUCAGACUUUCACCACUUUUUAUAAUUGCGUCGCGAAUUUACGUUACUUUUGAUGAUAGAGAGAUACUGGUAUCAAAUUAUGAGUGAUUCGGCGAAGUGAGCAACACCGCGUCCCGUAUACCAACCAAAGUUAGAUACCAUUUCUAAUACCGUAUUUAGAAUUCUGUGGUCGCAAGUA
Long non-coding RNA from Maniola jurtina (meadow brown), 973 nucleotides. RefSeq lists it as uncharacterized. The transcript is spliced from 2 exons. The record is from RefSeq and is a predicted model, not a curated record. Lineage: Eukaryota; Metazoa; Arthropoda; Insecta; Lepidoptera; Nymphalidae.